AUACAGAGGGUGCGAGCGUUAAUCGGAAUUACUGGGCGUAAAGCGCGCGUAGGCGGCUUAUUAAGUCAGAUGUGAAAUCCCCGGGCUCAACCUGGGAACUGCAUCUGAUACUGGUAAGCUCGAGUUUUGGAGAGGGAAGUAGAAUUUCAGGUGUAGCGGUGAAAUGCAUAGAGAUCUGAAGGAAUACCAGUGGCGAAGGCGACUUCCUGGCCAAAAACUGACGCUGAGGUGCGAAAGCGUGGGUAGCAAACGGGAUUAGAAACCCUUGUAGUCC
Molecule: ribosomal RNA, 274 nt
Filed under: uncultured bacterium
Lineage: Bacteria
Description: partial 16S ribosomal RNA
Rfam family: Bacterial small subunit ribosomal RNA
Source: RNAcentral